Molecule: transfer RNA, 92 nt
Filed under: Gammaproteobacteria bacterium
Lineage: Bacteria; Pseudomonadati; Pseudomonadota; Gammaproteobacteria
Also listed under: 1 other name
Description: tRNA-Ser
Rfam family: tRNA
About the family: Transfer RNA (tRNA) molecules are approximately 80 nucleotides in length.
Source: RNAcentral
GGAGAGGUGGCGGAGUCCGGUCGAUCGCACAGCAUUCGAAAUGCUGCGUAGUGGCAACACUACCGUGGGUUCGAAUCCCACCCUCUCCGCCA